GGGGAUGUAGCUCAGUGGUAGAGAUUCCGCUUUGCAUGCGGAAGGCCCGGGGUUCGUUCCCCCGCAUCUCCA
This 72-nucleotide transfer RNA is filed under the name Nematostella vectensis (starlet sea anemone). It matches the Rfam family "tRNA". From Rfam's summary of the family: Transfer RNA (tRNA) molecules are approximately 80 nucleotides in length. Their secondary structure includes four short double-helical elements and three loops (D, anti-codon, and T loops). Lineage: Eukaryota; Metazoa; Cnidaria; Anthozoa; Actiniaria; Edwardsiidae. The record is from Rfam by way of RNAcentral.